Molecule: microRNA precursor, 81 nt
Organism: Pan paniscus (pygmy chimpanzee)
Lineage: Eukaryota; Metazoa; Chordata; Mammalia; Primates; Hominidae
Source: Ensembl
CUAUUAGGUUGGUGCAAAAGUAAUUGCGGUUGUUGCCACUGAAAGUAAUGGCAAAACCACAAUGACUUUUGCACCAGUCUA